RNAcentral lists this ribosomal RNA (2199 nucleotides) under Escherichia coli. RNAcentral's name for it is "bacterial LSU rRNA". It matches the Rfam family "Bacterial large subunit ribosomal RNA", at positions 614 to 2798 of the family's 2925-position model. RNAcentral also lists the same sequence under 1 other name. The record is from RNAcentral. Lineage: Bacteria; Pseudomonadati; Pseudomonadota; Gammaproteobacteria; Enterobacterales; Enterobacteriaceae.
AAUGGGUCAGCGACUUAUAUUCUGUAGCAAGGUUAACCGAAUAGGGGAGCCGAAGGGAAACCGAGUCUUAACUGGGCGUUAAGUUGCAGGGUAUAGACCCGAAACCCGGUGAUCUAGCCAUGGGCAGGUUGAAGGUUGGGUAACACUAACUGGAGGACCGAACCGACUAAUGUUGAAAAAUUAGCGGAUGACUUGUGGCUGGGGGUGAAAGGCCAAUCAAACCGGGAGAUAGCUGGUUCUCCCCGAAAGCUAUUUAGGUAGCGCCUCGUGAAUUCAUCUCCGGGGGUAGAGCACUGUUUCGGCAAGGGGGUCAUCCCGACUUACCAACCCGAUGCAAACUGCGAAUACCGGAGAAUGUUAUCACGGGAGACACACGGCGGGUGCUAACGUCCGUCGUGAAGAGGGAAACAACCCAGACCGCCAGCUAAGGUCCCAAAGUCAUGGUUAAGUGGGAAACGAUGUGGGAAGGCCCAGACAGCCAGGAUGUUGGCUUAGAAGCAGCCAUCAUUUAAAGAAAGCGUAAUAGCUCACUGGUCGAGUCGGCCUGCGCGGAAGAUGUAACGGGGCUAAACCAUGCACCGAAGCUGCGGCAGCGACGCUUAUGCGUUGUUGGGUAGGGGAGCGUUCUGUAAGCCUGUGAAGGUGUGCUGUGAGGCAUGCUGGAGGUAUCAGAAGUGCGAAUGCUGACAUAAGUAACGAUAAAGCGGGUGAAAAGCCCGCUCGCCGGAAGACCAAGGGUUCCUGUCCAACGUUAAUCGGGGCAGGGUGAGUCGACCCCUAAGGCGAGGCCGAAAGGCGUAGUCGAUGGGAAACAGGUUAAUAUUCCUGUACUUGGUGUUACUGCGAAGGGGGGACGGAGAAGGCUAUGUUGGCCGGGCGACGGUUGUCCCGGUUUAAGCGUGUAGGCUGGUUUUCCAGGCAAAUCCGGAAAAUCAAGGCUGAGGCGUGAUGACGAGGCACUACGGUGCUGAAGCAACAAAUGCCCUGCUUCCAGGAAAAGCCUCUAAGCAUCAGGUAACAUCAAAUCGUACCCCAAACCGACACAGGUGGUCAGGUAGAGAAUACCAAGGCGCUUGAGAGAACUCGGGUGAAGGAACUAGGCAAAAUGGUGCCGUAACUUCGGGAGAAGGCACGCUGAUAUGUAGGUGAAGUCCCUCGCGGAUGGAGCUGAAAUCAGUCGAAGAUACCAGCUGGCUGCAACUGUUUAUUAAAAACACAGCACUGUGCAAACACGAAAGUGGACGUAUACGGUGUGACGCCUGCCCGGUGCCGGAAGGUUAAUUGAUGGGGUCAGCGCAAGCGAAGCUCUUGAUCGAAGCCCCGGUAAACGGCGGCCGUAACUAUAACGGUCCUAAGGUAGCGAAAUUCCUUGUCGGGUAAGUUCCGACCUGCACGAAUGGCGUAAUGAUGGCCAGGCUGUCUCCACCCGAGACUCAGUGAAAUUGAACUCGCUGUGAAGAUGCAGUGUACCCGCGGCAAGACGGAAAGACCCCGUGAACCUUUACUAUAGCUUGACACUGAACAUUGAGCCUUGAUGUGUAGGAUAGGUGGGAGGCUUAGAAGUGUGGACGCCAGUCUGCAUGGAGCCGACCUUGAAAUACCACCCUUUAAUGUUUGAUGUUCUAACGUUGACCCGUAAUCCGGGUUGCGGACAGUGUCUGGUGGGUAGUUUGACUGGGGCGGUCUCCUCCUAAAGAGUAACGGAGGAGCACGAAGGUUGGCUAAUCCUGGUCGGACAUCAGGAGGUUAGUGCAAUGGCAUAAGCCAGCUUGACUGCGAGCGUGACGGCGCGAGCAGGUGCGAAAGCAGGUCAUAGUGAUCCGGUGGUUCUGAAUGGAAGGGCCAUCGCUCAACGGAUAAAAGGUACUCCGGGGAUAACAGGCUGAUACCGCCCAAGAGUUCAUAUCGACGGCGGUGUUUGGCACCUCGAUGUCGGCUCAUCACAUCCUGGGGCUGAAGUAGGUCCCAAGGGUAUGGCUGUUCGCCAUUUAAAGUGGUACGCGAGCUGGGUUUAGAACGUCGUGAGACAGUUCGGUCCCUAUCUGCCGUGGGCGCUGGAGAACUGAGGGGGGCUGCUCCUAGUACGAGAGGACCGGAGUGGACGCAUCACUGGUGUUCGGGUUGUCAUGCCAAUGGCACUGCCCGGUAGCUAAAUGCGGAAGAGAUAAGUGCUGAAAGCAUCUAAGCACGAAACUUGCC